AUUGAACGCUGGCGGCAGGCUUAACACAUGCAAGUCGAGCGGGGUGAUGGUGCUUGCACUAUCACUUAGCGGCGGACGGGUGAGUAAUGCUUAGGAAUCUGCCUAUUAGUGGGGGACAACAUCUCGAAAGGGAUGCUAAUACCGCAUACGUCCUACGGGAGAAAGCAGGGGAUCACUUGUGACCUUGCGCUAAUAGAUGAGCCUAAGUCGGAUUAGCUAGUUGGUGGGGUAAAGGCCUACCAAGGCGACGAUCUGUAGCGGGUCUGAGAGGAUGAUCCGCCACACUGGGACUGCGACACGGCCCAGACUCCUACGGGAGGCAGCAGUGGGGAAUAUUGGACAAUGGGGGGAACACUGAUCCAGCCAUGCCGCGUGUGUGAAGAAGGCCUUAUGGUUGUAAAGCACUUUAAGCGAGGAGGAGGCUCUUUUGGUUAAUACCCAAGAUGAGUGGACGUUACUCGCAGAAUAAGCACCGGCUAACUCUGUGCCAGCCGCCGCAGUAA
This 503-nucleotide ribosomal RNA is filed under the name uncultured bacterium. RNAcentral's name for it is "partial 16S ribosomal RNA". It matches the Rfam family "Bacterial small subunit ribosomal RNA", at positions 30 to 523 of the family's 1533-position model. The record is from RNAcentral.